GAUAACGUGCUGUCAUCGAUCUAAACACCCAUCUUCUAAUAGCGACAAACGAUUCCGCGAACUCUUUAAGGAACAAUGGCUUUGGAAUCAUGUUGUUUCAGUCGAUAGAAGAUUUCUCAGUUCUCCAUCCUCGUCACCUCGCUUGAAGAACUAGGGGGACAAUUACCGGUUAACUCAAAGAAAAGUACGUUGACGCUUUAUCGAAGGGGUGCAUGCAACAAAACGUCACUUUCGAGGAAAUCAAGGAGAGUAAUAUAUCUACAUCAUUUUAUCAUACACAGCUUAGCACCACGCGAUGAUUAAACGAGGAGCGAUUUUCCAAUAGACAAUGUAGAAAGAAGAAAAUGGCAUUUCUCUCAUUAAUUUAAUCUGAAGACAUAUGGUUCACGAAGCUUUAUAAUCCAUCUUCAUUGUGAAAAAACGAAACCACACGUCAUUUUAUAUUCUCGUCAAGGAAGUUCACGUAAGAGACGUGAAUACAAUUCUUUUUGGAAGCCCACAAGCAUCAAGAACAGCUCGCACGUUUCCGAGAUCCAAAUUACCAAUUUUCCCACUACUGCUUGAUGGGUCAAAAACGAACAUGUAUUUGAUCAGACCGCUUUCUAGAGCUCAUAAGCUCGAGAGCAGAAACAACAAAUUCUUUCUACUGCAAAGACAUCUCAUUCGAGGUAAUUAUAGACGAGACCGACGUCUAGUUUGAGACCAAUGAACUAGACGUCCCGACCAAGAACCGAUGCCAACGUCUCGUUCAAAAAUCAAUACCAAUGUCUAAUUCACGGACCAAGAAGAAUUCAUCUCCAUUUAAUAGGAAAAUCAAGUGACAUUACGAUUAGACAAUUCUUCCACCAUGGGAUUGUUCGAUGAAAAAGGAAACACGAAACCCUUUUACGGUUUACUCCACAAAACAAAUGCCUCCCCAUAUUUGUUAAAACGAAGAAUCUUUUUCCCACAAAGAAGAACUCGAGAGGGCUACAAGAUCUCUUUACAAGAUCACGAUAUUGAAAAUAAGUAUUUUCAUUUGUCUGGAAUCCGAUAGGGUGAGAGCUCUCUUUCCUUGUGAUAUCAGAGCUAACAAGUCCGAGAUCCCGAAGUGAAUACACUUUGAACUUUUUCCAUUGGUAAAUGACGUUUCAUCCAAGAUGGUAGAAGAUAAAUCCAAGGUCUCGCUCGAGAACCCAUGAACUUGUUUGAUGGGAAAACGGUUAUAAAGAAGAUGUGGGUUUAACAAAGACGUCUUAUUAAUGGUCGGAGGAAACGUUCAGUCGGUUACAAAGGAAAUGAGAAGAGUGCGACAGAAAGAAAGCCGGUGGCUCGAAGAGCUACCGGAAAAGUACAAACAACGGCGAGAUGAAGCAGAGGUGAAAACCCUAAUCUAGCCGCCAAGUGUCAGUCAAGAGUUUCGGAUCCUUUCGUUGCUUCCCUUUUCCUUUAUAUAGUCGUCCUGAUGCUUCGUCUUUGACCUAGCUUACACCAUCUUGAUGGGCCUCCCCUGCCGGGCCGAAAAGCCCAUAUGCGUCUGAGCAGCCACCGAGCCGAGUAUACUUCAGUCAAUGACGAUCGACUAAAAGUACUCUAGAGACAAGCCGAGAGGCCUGACUCUUGAGCCGACUGAUCGAACCGUCGCUCUACCUAAUCCAGGCCAGGCUUUCUAUUCUUUGGGCCUUGUGGGGUGGUUAAAUCCAUCCCCUACAAAGCUGAUGCUUCGAUUUGGAGGAAGAAACCGAUGACUCGCUCGAGAUUGAUAAAACCAACAUCUUGCUCGAGACCGAUGAAGCCAACUCCUCGAUCUAGAGGACAAAACCGAUAUCUCUUUCAGGGAUGACAAAUUUUAGUCAACCGACUAGAAUAAAACGGAGGAUAUCUCACAGCACAUCAAGCCGAAACCUUCUAAAAUCAUAACUCACAUGCCCGCACCUCAAUCUGAAACGAUCCUCGACUGUCUGAGUUUCGACGGGCAAGAUGAGGUUCAAAUCAGACAGCAAGAAAGACCACAAGUUCGUGCUAGAAUUAGUUUAACCGAGCUUUUGAGCUCCUGACAACGGGAUUCCAAAGACUCAGAUCGUGUAUCUGCCCCAAACUGCAACUUCCCCAAAAAAUGGAGCACAGGACGCAAUCUGGUUAACCCAAACCCAGAUGAUGUGGGUGAAAUGCAUGCAGGGGUCCGAUCUCAGGAACAAUGCAGCAACCACCCGAGUUGUGGUCCGCCUCUUAAUCGUCACAGUUGGUUCUUCUCCCCUAGACACACUCUCAUUCCUUUAGGUAGAAGAUGACGUAAGUUGGAAUUUAUAUGGGGAACGCCUCUGCUUGAAGUGGAAGAGGAAGUUUCAGUUUAUUAACGCCUCUGCUUGAAGUGGAAGGGGAAGUUUCAGUUUAUUCAAAUUUAUUUUGGAGAAUAUUCAAUUGUGUUCUAAUUAAACGAAUCUAAACCCUUUUAACAUUGUUUUUAGUUGACCAAAAAAAAUACAGACGUGUUAUCUCUUUCUGAGUUGUAGGUUUUAUUAGUCUAUUUAUAAGACUAGGUGCGUAGCUUUAACAAUCUCUUUUAAAAAAAAAAAGUUAGUCACCUGCUGGAAAGUGAUUGCUCUCACCACCGGCUGAGAGGAAGUAUAAUCUUUCUUCUCACCAUCAGCCUAAAACCAAAAGAGAAAUUCAAGUUUUAUAACAUACAGUACGGUUUAGAUAACACAAAAAGAGCAGACAAGUUUACCACAUUACCAUUUUUAACACUAAAAACCAUAGUUUCAUAAGCUUAGAGAGAAACUAAGGACAAACAGAGAGAGAAAAAAAAACAGGUCGAGAAAAAAUAUUUGUACCAACGUAUUUGUUAAAGACCAAAACAGACGACAAGAACCUGAAGCUUCUGAUCAAAUCCAU
Brassica rapa (field mustard) is the source of this 2874-nucleotide long non-coding RNA. RefSeq lists it as uncharacterized. NCBI's taxonomy places the organism in Eukaryota, Viridiplantae, Streptophyta, Magnoliopsida, Brassicales, Brassicaceae. The record is from RefSeq and is a predicted model, not a curated record.